Molecule: ribosomal RNA, 2745 nt
Filed under: Triticum aestivum (bread wheat)
Lineage: Eukaryota; Viridiplantae; Streptophyta; Magnoliopsida; Poales; Poaceae
Description: partial small subunit ribosomal RNA
Source: RNAcentral
AUGAAGGUAAGGGGCCCCAACCCCACCGAAGCCGUGCUCUGCACAUGGCAUUCUUCCACGGCGAACUGGGUCGUCACCAAGGCCGCGGGCUUUCCCUCCGAGCUUUGCUAUCCCUGCCACCUCUUCCAGGUAGACAUGUGCUUCGCGUUUCGAGGCUCCACCCUCUGCUGGGUGGAUCUGUCCAAAGGCAUGGUGGUCUGUGAUCUGCGCGCGGUGAUCCAGCAUGGCGCCGGCCCAGAGUUCCGCUUCGUCCGGUUGCCUGGAGGGUGCCGGACCUAUGACCGUGGCCAGCGCGAGCGGCUACCGAACCCAGAGGAGUUCCGUAACAUGGCCUGCGUUGGCGGCAGCAUCAAGUUCGUCACCAUGGAUGGCUACGGCGAGCGGCCCGGCAGCCAAGUGACCAUGACCGUCUGGACGCUGUCGCCGGACCUCUGCAGUUGGAAGAAAGGUGUGGUGUACCAUGUGAGCGACAUCUGGGCAAGCGAGAGCCACAUCUCGCUAGGCUUGCUGCAGGCGUUGCCGUCGUUCCCGGUGCUGAGCGUGGACGAAGACGACGUCGUCUACCUAUCCUUCACUGAUCUGGACGUGACGGUCGAAGGUCGAGUGGAGUUCAAAAGCCAGUAUUUGCUUCGCGUCGACAUGCAGCACAACGAGGCGGACGCCGCGGCGCGCGCGGUGGCGUGGCUGCUGCUCGCGGCCUACCUGCAGCUCGAGUACGGCGGCCGCGGGGAGGAGCGCUUAGCCGCGCCGCUCAAACUGAUCUGGUGGGCGCUCUUCCUUCUCCUCUCCGUCCACGCCGCGACGAGCCUCUGCUACAGGCUCCCCGUGCCCACCCUUCCGUCGGUGCGCGACGACGUAGAGGUCCUCGCAGCCAGCGAUGCCAAUGCCAACCCAGCUCAGCAGCCCCAACAAUAUGUGCAGGCUGGCUAUCAACGCGCCACGACGGAGAGCCACGACGGCGAGCAGAGGGGAGGAGCAACGACAGUCGAAGGACACCACCAAUCGCCGGCGACCCCGCGCCGCCGCCGCCUUUCCCCGGACCCCUGGAUGAGCUCGAGCUCCACGAUGGAGGCGGCAAUGACAACAGCGCUCCUCUCUGCAGACGAGGUGUUUGUUAAAAUGCCAGAGAAAAAGAGAGGAGGAGGAAGAAGAAUGACCGCCAGGAGCGGUGGCGAGCUCUCCAUUGCAGCGGUGGGAGGGAGCGCCGACGAGCGCUCCAUUGCAGCUCCGGCGAGAUGCAUCUCAGCCCCGAGACAGCUUCAAAGCAACAUUGCCGGAGUUGCAAUGUCCCUGUCGGCCCACUCCCCGCGGUCACCGUCGCAGCGCUACUCCCACCAUUGCAGCUCAGGCAGCCACGCCGUGCUCAAAUCGCAGCUCGACGGCCAUGCGCAGAUGCUCCCCGUCGCAGCAGCAUCAUCUACGACGGCCAUGGCGGGCGGUGGUUGCGUGUCGAAGCUUUCCUCGACUCAUGACACCGCGGUCGCUGCAGCGCAGCGGUGCCCCACGCAGCUGCAGCAGUCCGUCGCCCGGCCGGGGGAGGGGGGAGUCUGGGUCUUGCUGAAGCGGAUGAUUGACAUCGAGCACGAACCGAGCGAAACAGGAGGAGAUGCGUCGAUCCGCGGCACCAAGAGCCUAGUAUCAAGCCAACAAGACAGAAGAGACGCCGUCCUCGCCUACCUGCGGACCCUGAAACCGGACGCCCGCUUCGCCGAUCCGCCGGAGCUGUCCUCCCUCCGCAUACUGCGGCCGGGGAUAUGCGACAGAGAUGUCACAUCCGCCUACAUCGCCAGCGGGGACAAGAACCUGGUCGCCCUCUUCGCCGAUCCUUACCGCCCCGGCACCAACUCGGAAGGAGGCUAUCUGAUCUACGACGCCGGCAACAACUCCCUCUCGGCGAUCCCCCCGCCCCCCUUUGACUACGACCGUGCCGACGUCGGCAUGGGAGCCGGCGUCCUGUGCCUCGAGGAAGGCGGCUACGUUCUUGUCGAGCUCACCACGGCAAUGGACUCCGACCCGACUGAAGCCGCACUCUACACGUGGCAGUCGUCCACCGCACAAUGGAUCUUGAAGGUCUCGAGCUUCCCCCACGAGCUGUCCUAUCCCGGCCACUUCUUCAGGGCAGACACGUGCUUCGCGCAUCGAGGCUCCAGCCUCUGCUGGGUGGAUCUGUUCAAAGGCAUGGCCGUCUGCGAUCUGCGCGCGGUGCUCCGGCACGGCGCCGACCCAGGGUUCCGCUUCGUUCCGCUGCCCGGAGAGUGCCCGACGUAUGACCGUGGCCAGAUGGACAAACGGGAAUGUCCACUUGAGGCGGAGGAGUUCCGCUGCAUGGCCUGUGUCGGCGGCAGCAUCAAGUUCGUCGCCAUGGAUGGCUACGGCGAGCGGCCCGGCAACGAGGUAACGGUGAACAUCUGGACGCUGUCGCCGGACCUCUGCGGUUGGAAGAAAGGCGCGGUGUACCACGUGAGGGACAUCUGGGCAAGCGAGAGCCACCUCUCGCUGGGCUUGCCGCAGAACUUGCCGUCGUUCCCGGUGCUAAGCGCGGACGAGGACGACGUCGUCUACCUCUUCUUCGUCGACCUGGAGGUGACGGAGGACGGUGACGCGGAGUUCAAAAACCACCAUGUGCUUCGCGUCGACAUGCAGAACAAAAAGGUCUCCCACCAUCCAAAAAGUGCAGAUGAGAUGCCUGUUCAACUCUUCAGCAGUGAAAUUCUUGCCACCGAGUGCAGUGCUUACCUACAGUGA